RNAcentral lists this long non-coding RNA (1410 nucleotides) under Struthio camelus australis. RNAcentral's name for it is "lncRNA (ENSSCUG00000011258.1)". The record is from RNAcentral. Lineage: Eukaryota; Metazoa; Chordata; Aves; Struthioniformes; Struthionidae.
GGUACUGAUCCCAAUUGAUCUUACAGGGCUUAAGAGACUUGCCUAUGUCAGGCUGUGUUAAUGUAGCUGCUGGGAAAAAGAGACUAUAGAAGGCCUUUGGCUUUCAGAGUGUCUGGAUUUGGGGAUUUUUGGCCUUUUUUUUUUUUAACUGCAUCAGAACACAAUUUUCAAAAUUCCCCAGUUGGCUUAGAGACCUAAGUAGUGCUUUUAUAGCAAUCAAAUCUUUACGCUUUGGACUCGCUCUGAUUUUCAGUGGUACCGCAAGUCAAAUUUUCCAAAGCAUCGCAGUCCUUUAGCCACACUCCUUGUGGGUAUUUAUUUGGUGAGUUUCCCUCCUCUGGUUUUGAUUUGGUUUAUAUCCUAAAUAACCUAAUAGUUUUCACUAUUUAUUCUGCAUGUAGGAAUGCUUGGGAGCAAGGUAUUAACAACUGUGCGUCCCUGCUGAAUGACUUUCUUCUCUGAACUUUCCUGUGUGAGAGGAGAAAAUUCUUCUCCAAAUCGUUUCAGGCCUUUUGUUGUUGUUUUUUGUCAGGCAGAACUCCAUCAGGAAAUCUGAACACCUGGAGAAGGUUCAAGCAUAGACUGAGCUUCAGGUCUCAGCUUGGACCCAACAGGCACAAACUGCCCCCAGCAGACCCAGACAUGAUCUCGUUCAGGACAAGCACAAGUGUGAACUGAACACAGUAGAGGCCCCUGCUUGUGGAAAGUCUGAUUUUGUUUUCACGUGCCCAUCAGAAACAUGGACGCAGAAAAAGAAACCUACUGUGCCAUCUUGUUUUACAAGUUCAGUUUCUGAUUAUGAUCUCAGUAGUGUUAUAAAAUGCAUUUUAUGUGAAAAAAAUUAUCAUUCUUACAGACCUAAGCAGAGGUUUAUUUUUGUAACCAAACCUGCUAUUAAGGAGAGUCAGGCCAUGUUUUCUCAUAGCAUCGACAUGCCUGUCCGACAGUGCCCUGGAUUUCCUUCCCUUAAAAAUUGUUCCCAGAAGAGAGGGCAGCCUCCUUUGUUUCUCUUCAAGAGAGGUGGGACAGACACAGUUUUGCCAACAUUGAGUGCUGCUCAUAAGAAAGAUUUUUUUUGCUCUGUUAUGUAUUUCUCAUUUUCCAUUACAUCGCUGCGGUAAUAAAAGGGGAAGCCAUUUCUAACAUUGGAUAUCUUCCUUCAGAGACACCAGCAACUUGGGACAGCUUCUCCUACAUAUGUAAUGCUUCAUUUUAGGACCUGAUGACAUGGGUCUUGCAUUAACAGCCAUAGAACAGAAAGUAAAGACCAAAAGAAGAAAAAAUUAGCACGCUGAGAGUGCCGGUAGCAGUAAGUGAGGCAGUCCUGCCAUCCUGAGUCAUUAGAAGAGCUACUGUUGAUGGGAUCCUGUGUAAAAUAAAGCAUGGACGUUUCUGAUAAUCUAUGUAAUU